UACGUAGGGUGCGAGCGUUGUCCGGAAUUACUGGGCGUAAAGGGCUCGUAGGCGGUUUGUUGCGUCGGUCGUGAAAACUCGGGGCUUAACCCUGAACGUGCGGGCGAUACGGGCAGACUUGAGUUCUGCAGGGGAGAACGGAAUUCCUGGUGUAGCGGUGAAAUGCGCAGAUAUCAGGAGGAACACCGGUGGCGAAGGCGGGUCUCUGGGAAGAUACUGACGCUGAGGAGCGAAAGCGUGGGGAGCGAACAGG
This 253-nucleotide ribosomal RNA is filed under the name uncultured bacterium. Its description in RNAcentral is "partial 16S ribosomal RNA". It matches the Rfam family "Bacterial small subunit ribosomal RNA", at positions 524 to 776 of the family's 1533-position model. The record is from RNAcentral.